GGGGCAACUGAUGUACCUGGCCGCAAUGACAACGCCACUCUGGGACUUUCACCCAGAGAAUACCACAUAUAAAUAUUAGGUUCUCAUUUGUUUUAAGAAAGGGAGCAGAGAGGUUAAUUUCUAGUCUACUUUUGAACAGUGUCCAGUUUUAUUUAUGGAUAGGCAUAGUGUUAGUUAACACUCUUGAUUUAAAAAUAAGGCUUUUAUUACAAAAAUAUCUUCUAUGCUAAAAAUUGUCGUUACACUGAGGUGAUUUGCCAGCACAAGGUGACUAUCAGGGAGGUCUAAAGGGGUGGGAGAGUGAAGGGGCCACCACCAGGGACCGGAAAGGAAAAGUCACACACACAUGCACUGCAAAGCAAAACACAACAAAUAUAAAACAUGCCAAAUAAACUAUGAAUGAGGAAGCCCUCCACCUAGUGAACCACGACCUAUAAUCAGCCCGCCUGUACAGGCAUUGAGGACCCCAGUGUAGGACCUGCUCCAGUUGGUUUACAAAAAAGAAAAGAACAAAGAAACUAAACAACUUGUCUGGAGAGAAAACAAAUUAACAAUGCAUAAUCAAGAUACUGGAUAAAACAAAGUAACCAUAAAUACAAAAUAUAUUUGCAAAGGGGCAAAAACAGCAGUGGCUAGAACUCGGCAAUCACCGAAAAGCCGACAUCACUUCCCUGUUCCUGCCACAAAACAAAGCAGCACAUGUCACACACACACAACGUACAAAACUCCACCCAACAUCACCGCUACAGAGCACAUUCAAACAAAACCAAAAACUCGCUCCACUACAAAAACAGACACACCUGGAGACUGUACAGAUGGGGUGGGAGCUCCACGAAUAGUCCUUCAGCGCCCAGUCCAGCAAUAGUCAUUCCUGAGAAGUGUGGAGCUGGGGCAGCCUGGGGCAAACCCUACAUUUGAACCAGGAAGUAAUCUGGCCUCACCUGUUGGGAAUCACCAAUUAAAAUGGUGUAUCCAAACAGGUAGAGUGAGCUCUACCCAUCACAUUGAGAUGCGCGUGCACACACACACACACACACACACACUCACUCAUAUUUGUUCAUUCCGUUUAUCUUACUGCCUUGCAAGCCAAUAAAUCUUGAAUAUCAAAAUUAACUUAGCUCUGGUGAGCGUUGGCCAUUUAAUAAUAAGAGGAAAUUAAAAGAAUAAGAUAGAGGUUCAAAGUAAGAGGGAGAUUAGAUAGUCAAUACAAUAUUACUGAAUUACCGACAGCACUAAUAUUGUUAUUUAUAAGCAGAAUUACUUGUUACUGAAUGUGCAAAUGUUUAAAAUUAAUAUAAUCACAAUUGAUACUACUUAUCAACACAAGUGUGUGACAUGUCAUUUUAAUAAAACUGAAAUGGUUAGAGGGAGAAGAAGGAGAAGAAGGUCUUGGAAAUGUAACGUGUGGGUGUGCGUGUGUAAAGUAAAACAUCUUCUCCAACAUCCAUAGCCAUCAGAAAUAGAAAUGGCUGGUCAACAGUGAGCUGGUUUAGGCUUAACAGAGGGGACCAGUAAGAAUUUAUAUUUUUCCGCGGUCCAGACAUUCAAAGUGCAUGGAUUAUACCAGCAGGUGGAUUCCUUGAAUAUGCUGAAGGAUGAUAAGGAAUGCUUGUUCCUGCCUUUUCCUAGAUCUAAUGAGACUCAAUGUGGCACUGGGCAGGGAGUUGGAGCUCCAGCUGCUUGGAUUUAGAGGAAUACCCAACGGGAAACUUCACACCCCCAACCUCUGCUGGUUUUGUCGGAUUAGCUCAAACUGAAUGAUCUCUGUGUCCAAACUGGACGAUGCUCUGUGUACUGCAUUGCCAGACGGCGUACAAACAAAAUGAACUGUGAGGAACAAAACCACUCAUUCUUAGAUAAAUCCUAUGUUGUAGAUAGACUAUCUUUAACUUCAAAAAGUCUUUAACCAACCUCCAAAAUAGGAUUUUUAUUAUCUGUGAACUCACUGAGAACUCAUAUUAUAACAGGUUGGACAACAAUUGGAUUUGGCCGUAAAAUAUUUAAUCAAAUGAAAACUUUUUCAGACAUUUUUCACUAUUCAAGAGUGGUAUUCAAAAACCUAUGUCGGAUCAAACAUUCAUUAAAGCCUUAAGCGGCCUCACGUUCAUGCAGAUACACACAAACAGACAAAUCAGUGUCACCUCACGAUGCAUGAUUUACGUAACAAUGAGCUGAACUACAAUGAUAUAAUUAUAAAUGAAUCCGGAGAGAGUUGUUGAAAUUUGAACAAUGCUUUAUUAUAACAGGCAUAAUAUUGCAAGUUGUUUGGGGCUUGGACUCCAUCCUGCCGCAGGAUAGACCAGGGGCCGGGAUCUCGAGCCGAGACGAGGCAUAUCCCCCAAAACCAGGUUUAUUUGAUGGAAUAAAAUAAAUACUUACUGAGGGUCCUGAUCCGGAGCUGGUGUCACAAGGGGACAUAUAGUAAGUCACGUGGAGCUGAGAAACCAAGGCAAAGGUUAACAGGACAAUGAAAGAGGAAGGUCUAGUUGAACCAUAGACAAGGACACGGGGUCCAGGGAAGCCGCAGGACAUAGCGAGGGUCUAGCUGCACCACAGUAAGGCAUGGUGGGCUUUCAAAAGAUCCCGAAGUAAAAGAGAGGGUCUGCUAGACUAAAUGACAGGAUAAGUUGGGGGUCAAGGUUGACCGCAGACAAGGACAGUUUGUGGUCGUGUAAGUCCGCAGACCAGAUAGGGGUGGUCAUGGUGGACCGCAGAAUAGACUUAGUUGAAGAGGGCCCCUCACAGAACAACUUGACUGGGUUCGCUCAGACCGGGAAACAGAUGGUCACAUGGGUGUUCCUGACUGGUCAGGUUAGCCUUGCUAAACGUACCACCGUCGCUUGACGGGUCAGCUCAGACCGGGCACUUGCUAUUAACUAGAGUGACCGGUCGCGGGACCGCGAAAUGGAAAGGUAGUCAGCUUGACUGGUCCAUCCGGACAGCUUUUGGGAAAUAGAUGUGGUCCUGUGAGACCAGGAAAGAUACGUUAAGCCAGGUAACGUAAACCUAAGAAACACAGACACGUUAAGCCAGGUCACGUUCACCUAGGAAAUUACUUAAGUCUGCGGCAAGGGGACGAGGAAGGAAUUCCCAGACAAGCUGCGCUGUAAGACACCACCACCACCAGUUAUAUGCAUGCUUACCGGAAUCGUUACGUCUUUAAUGCUCUUUGCUUUGCCAGUACCGUGGUAAGGUCAGGGCGAAUGUAUGACGUCAGCGCGGAGGAGGACCACCUCCCCAUCUGCUGUAGUGUAGUCUCGGGGAUGCCUUGGUUGGAGGCUGACGUGGCAGCCCCUAUUCUAAACGAAUGUCCCGAGUAGUGAUGCGGCGAUAUGUGGCUUCUAGUGAGUAUAAUGUUCAAAUGAUGGCAGAACCAGGUUCGGGAUAGGGGCGCAUUGCCGGGAGUGAGGAAUAGCGGUGCCGUGGGGCCAGUGGUAGGUUUCACCUGGAGAUACCCCAGCAUAGCUUUGAAAGGGCACAAGUCGGCCUCCAUUCGUGCCACAAUCACUGAGCAAGCGCCGCCUCGUUUGGAGUGUUUAAGCUGCAGUUGGUAAUGGGUAGGAUAGAAGGUCAAAUCUUUCGCUGUGAGAUCUUUAUCAGGGCUAAAGGCUUUAGCGGAUGUGGUAAAUUUGCCACAUCAGAGGAAGGCAUAAAAUGCUAGCAAGAAAACUGCCUCUAAUAAGGUGUCGCUAUAGGGUGAAAACACCCCUUCCCGGAGUAUGUGCACCAUCUGCUGCAGGAUCGGCAGGGUGAUAGGACGCCGGGAGUCGGGGAUUUAAGGUAACUCUUGUGUAAUGCCUUUGAGCAGUAGCUUGACACUAAUGUGAGAGAACAGGCUUGGGAACUCAGGAUCUGAACAUCUAAUGUGGAACUGAAUGCCGGCAAGCAAACUACGAUUGUAUGGAGGUUUGAAAUGCCGCACGUCGGUACAAUAGCAGAUGAAUGCGCACACCGUUUUCAUAGCAACAGGUUGGACCGGCAUGCUGACAGACAGACAAAACAUGGCAAAUGUACGCCAAGCAAAAUCAUACACUUUUAUGGUAGACCUUGCUAGGCCUUUCCGCAUGUUAUACCUGGCUGCCUCCACGUAGUGCUCUAUCUGACCUUGUCCUAUGAGAGCAUCAGGGUGUGACACUGAGGGACUGUAAUGGGUGCUUUGUGGGCAUCGGGGCAGAGCCUCUGGAAAGUCUGAAAAUCAAAAACGGGAAAGUGAGUCAGCCAGUUUGUUAUGCUGUCCGGGCACGUGCCGGGGAGUGAGGAAGAAGUUCUUGGUGACAGCGAACCACGUAAUGCCUCUCAUGAAUGGCAUGAUGUCUCCCCUCUGAUAACGGAACGCCCAGCUCCACUCGCAGUAGCGAGGAGCCUGACCCGUCCUGCGGGGAAUCUAUCACCAGGAAGUCAUCCAGCAGGUGAAGUACUGACGGGAUUUUGGCCCUAUUCAGCAGGAUCCAACAGAGCGCUUCGGACACCUUGUUAAAUAUGCACGGGCUGCUCCUGCACCCAAAAGUUAACCGCACUGCAAAGUAGAACUUCGCCCCCCACCGGAUCCCGAAGAGAUGCCAUUGAGCCGGGUGUAUGGGUACUAUUUUGAAUGUGUCUUUUACAUCCAGACAGAUCAAAAAUUAAUCUUUUUUUACCAGAGUAUUUGCCCGUAGCAACGCCCUACGUGAAACCCCUGUGGUAAGCCUGUGAGCAAGUGAUUCACGAACCCCCGGUCGGGGUGCAAAGAUAGCUCUGUUGCUAGUGCUGCCUUGUGAGACGAGUGCUCCUGCGCCGGCCGCUCGGUGGGCUGCUGGCCGGCUCCGGUUGUUGAGACUCUCGUCUCCGGGAUAGAUCGCUGUCCGAAUCCGACAUUCCUUUUGCCGUCACGAUCACUGCUAAUCCAGACGAAAAUAAUCCUUUUUCACCUUUGGAGCGUGCUGAAAUGACAACUGACAGCAAGAGAGAGGAGAACAGUUUUUUUAACGUUUGCCUGCACCAAUGCGAUUGGUUUACGGUAACGACACCCACGUCUGAUACUACCCGACCCUGCCCCUAAUCAGCUGGCCGUGCACCCCCAGGGAGAGAGGAGGCCACCAGGGAACGGCACAGCCUGUCCAGUCUUCCUGACUGAAUUUUCACCUAAGCUUCAUUUAUUUUUAGUUUACCAGCAUAAAUUGGGAGUGAAUACAUUUAUGAAGCUUAGGCCUAAAUUCAGUCAGGAAGACUGAAGAAGCUAAUGCCUGGCAUAUCGAAAGAAUGGAGCAACUUCUCUACUACCACCAUCACCGGUGUCUACACUCCCAAAGGGGGUACAUGCCUCAUCUGAUCACAGAAUCCUGCCCCCUGGUCUAUCCUAUGGCUGGAUGGAGUCCAAGCCACAACAAACUUUUCACUUUUAAUAUUUAUGCUUGUGUUAAUAAAUCAUUGUUAAAACUUCAGAAGUCUCUCCUGAUUGAAAUAUAUUUGUCUGGAAUUGGAAGACUUAAUAUGGGGUCCAUCAUCAGAGACAAGUACUGACG
Long non-coding RNA from Gasterosteus aculeatus aculeatus (three-spined stickleback), 5501 nucleotides. The record is from Ensembl. Lineage: Eukaryota; Metazoa; Chordata; Actinopteri; Perciformes; Gasterosteidae.